UUCCUGAUUUUCCCAUCGUUCGGGGCAUUCUGGGGCUGUUUUGGCUAUUGGUUGCUUGUUUGGUCUUGAGCUGAAUGGGUGGCUUCUAGUCUGGUGGCUUCGGGGAUGUUGUCCGUAAAGGUGGAUGAGUGGUGUUUGGUUUGUUACGUGUGGUUGGCUGCGGCGUUUGCAACAACUUCCAUGCUUUCAGACCUUUUCAGUUGUGCGGCAAGGCUUGUAUUGCCUUGAGCGUACUGUGGGUUUUCUGUGUUGGCUACCUAAUCAAUGGUAUCGGUUGGAUUGAUCAAAGUUUGAUUUCGUCUUCCGUCGCAUUCGCGGCGUGAGGUGAACCUCGAUGCGGUCUCUUUGAUCCACCUCGUUGAAGCAAGUGAUUCGACGUUGUGGCACAUUGAGCAUUGCUUGGUCUCUUGUAUACGGAACAUAUAGUGGGCAUGGAUCUAACGAUCCUUGUUUGCCCUCAUAUUAGCGUAACGCUUCUCUAACACGACUUGCGCCAUGUUUNAG
RNAcentral lists this unclassified non-coding RNA (504 nucleotides) under Artemisia granatensis. Its description in RNAcentral is "partial external transcribed spacer". The record is from RNAcentral. Lineage: Eukaryota; Viridiplantae; Streptophyta; Magnoliopsida; Asterales; Asteraceae.